GCAUAUCAAUAAGCGGAGGAAAAGAAACCAACAGGGAUUGCCCUAGUAACGGCGAGUGAAGCGGCAACAGCUCAAAUUUGAAAUCUGGCUCUCUUUGGGGGUCCGAGUUGUAAUUUGCAGAGGAUGCUUUGGCAUUGGCGGCGGUCUAAGUUCCUUGGAACAGGACAUCACAGAGGGUGAGAAUCCCGUACGUGGUCGCCUGCCUUUGCCGUGUAAAGCUCCUUCGACGAGUCGAGUUGUUUGGGAAUGCAGCUCUAAAUGGGAGGUAAAUUUCUUCUAAAGCUAAAUACCGGCCAGAGACCGAUAGCGCACAAGUAGAGUGAUCGAAAGAUGAAAAGUACUUUGGAAAGAGAGUCAAAAAGCACGUGAAAUUGUUGAAAGGGAAGCGCUUGCAGCCAGACUUGCCCGCAGUUGCUCACCUAGGCUUUGGCCUGGGGCACUCUUCUGCGGGCAGGCCAGCAUCAGUUUGGGCGGUUGGAUAAAGGCCUCUGUCACGUAUCUUCCUUCGGGAUGACCUUAUAGGGGAGGCGUAAUGCAACCAGCCCGGACUGAGGUCCGCGCAUCUGCUAGGAUGCUGGCGUAAUGGCUGUAAGCGGCCCGUCUUGAAACACGGACCAAGGAGUCUAACAUCUAUGCGAGUGUUUGGGUGUCAAGCCCGGGCGCGCAAUGAAAGUGAACGGAGGUGGGAACCCUUUGGGUGCACCAUCGACCGAUCCUGAUGUCUUCGGAUGGAUUUGAGUAAGAGCAUAGCUGUUGGGACCCGAAAGAUGGUGAACUAUGCUUGAAUAGGGUGAAGCCAGAGGAAACUCUGGUGGAGGCUCGCAGCGGUUCUGACGUGCAAAUCGAUCGUCAAAUUUGGGCAUAGGGGCGAAAGACUAAUCGAACCAUCUAGUAGCUGGUUCCUGCCG
This 908-nucleotide ribosomal RNA is filed under the name Paraconiothyrium brasiliense. Its description in RNAcentral is "eukaryotic LSU rRNA". It matches the Rfam family "Eukaryotic large subunit ribosomal RNA", at positions 38 to 963 of the family's 3401-position model. Lineage: Eukaryota; Fungi; Ascomycota; Dothideomycetes; Pleosporales; Didymosphaeriaceae. The record is from RNAcentral.